This 301-nucleotide ribosomal RNA is filed under the name uncultured bacterium. RNAcentral's name for it is "partial 16S ribosomal RNA". It matches the Rfam family "Bacterial small subunit ribosomal RNA", at positions 509 to 807 of the family's 1533-position model. The record is from RNAcentral.
CAGUAGCCGCGGUAAUACGAAGGGGGCUAGCGUUGUUCGGAUUUACUGGGCGUAAAGCGCACGUAGGCGGAUCGAUCAGUCAGGGGUGAAAUCCCAGAGCUCAACUCCGGAACUGCCUUUGGUACUGUCGAUCUGGAGUAUGGAAGAGGUGAGUGGAAUUCCGAGUGUAGAGGUGAAAUUCGUAGAUAUUCGGAGGAACACCAGUGGCGAAGGCGGCUCACUGGUCCAUUACUGACGCUGAGGUGCGAAAGCGUGGGGAGCAAACAGGAUUAGAUACCCCGGUAGUCCCUGUAUCUUAUAC